GAUGACUCCCGGCAACGGAUAUCUCGGCUCUCGCAUCGAUGAAGAACGUAGCGAAAUGCGAUACCUGGUGUGAAUUGCAGAAUCCCGUGAACCAUCGAGUCUUUGAACGCAAGUUGCGCCCGAGGGACCAUCCCGAGGGCACGCCUGCCUCAUGGGCGUUAGAA
This 164-nucleotide ribosomal RNA is filed under the name Eleocharis capillacea. RNAcentral describes it as "5.8S ribosomal RNA". It matches the Rfam family "5.8S ribosomal RNA". From Rfam's summary of the family: 5.8S ribosomal RNA (5.8S rRNA) is a component of the large subunit of the eukaryotic ribosome. Lineage: Eukaryota; Viridiplantae; Streptophyta; Magnoliopsida; Poales; Cyperaceae. The record is from RNAcentral.